AACGAACGCUGGCGGCGCGCCUAAUACAUGCAAGUCGAGCGAGAAGACGUAGCAAUACGUUUGUAAAGCGGCGAACGGGUGAGGAAUACAUGGGUAACCUACCCUCGAGUGGGGAAUAACUAGCCGAAAGGUUAGCUAAUACCGCGUACGCUCCUUGGACUUCGGUUCAGGGAGGAAAGCGAUACCGUGGGUAUCGCGCUCUUGGAUGGGCUCAUGUCCUAUCAGCUUGUUGGUGAGGAACGGCUCACCAAGGCUUCGACGGGUAGCUGGUCUGAGAGGACGAUCAGCCACACUGGCACUGCGACACGGGCCAGACUCCUACGGGAGGCAGCAGUAAGGAAUAUUGCGCAAUGGGCGAAAGCCUGACGCAGCGACGCCGCGUGGGGGAUGAAGGUC
Molecule: ribosomal RNA, 396 nt
Filed under: uncultured bacterium
Lineage: Bacteria
Description: bacterial SSU rRNA
Rfam family: Bacterial small subunit ribosomal RNA
Source: RNAcentral